CACAAUUCUAGAUCAUAUGAGCUCUAAACUUAACAUAUACAGUUAUUUCCAAAUGUCCCUCAAUAUGCUCAUAUAUAUUUUCAGUUCAGAAUCUUCAGAUGUUCAACUCCAACUCUGACCAACUCAAAACCAAUCGAAAACAUAAAUGUCAAAUGCUCAAAUAAAAUGGUUUAGUGACAGAAGUGAGUUCAGGGAAACAUAAAGGCUGGAAAAAUCAUUAUGCAUCUUCCUUCCUCGAUUCUGCAUCUGUUGUAAUCGGACCAAGUUGAAACCAAUUAAAAACUCGAGAAACGAAG
RNAcentral lists this long non-coding RNA (296 nucleotides) under Panax ginseng (ginseng). RNAcentral's name for it is "long non-coding RNA (PGIN_LNC005383)". The record is from RNAcentral. Lineage: Eukaryota; Viridiplantae; Streptophyta; Magnoliopsida; Apiales; Araliaceae.